UGAGACGGAGACGACAUUUCAUAUCUAGUUACAUACAUAUGAAUGUACAGAGGGUGGCUGAGUGAGUAGUUGAAGAGGAAAUAUUUGUGGAGGAGGAAGUGUCGAAGUGUUAAGUACACCACAUUAAGUAAUCAAAACAGUGUGACAUUUUUUCACACUUGGGCCAAAAGACUCGAUCACUCAUUCUCUUUUAGAGAGAGACAUGUAAGAUCUGUCUUUUUGUGUGGUUUGGUUUUGGUUUAGUGGGUGGAUUGGGUUUGAUUGGGAGUAAAGUGUCAAUAUCGUGAGGAUGAAAUGUGUGACAUGUGACGUAAUGAGUGUUAAGGGUCCCACUUUCUGGAGGAAGGAAACCUUUCCUGUUUUGAUGGUAUUUUCCGGUCUGCUACUGUUUAGCUAGUUUAUCGUCCAGCUGACACUGGAUUUCAGGAGAGACAGACAAGAUGACAAAUGAAGGGAUGACUUGUCGCCUGCGACUGUCACGAAUUUCUUUUCCCAGGAGGAGGAUCAUCACAAAAAGGAAUAAUAACCAACGCUACGACUCUCUUGACAUACGGAUACGGAUCUUGAUCCCGACGGGGAUGAAAUUAAGGAGCGUCUCUCUCCAAACUGAUUUGUCAAGUGGGGAAUAAAGAAGUUCUAUUUAAGGAAGAGAAGAAAGGUGGCUGGCUGGAGAAAAACAAAACGGUGGUGACAAAAACAUGACAAUGUCAAGGGACCGAUGGGAAUAAGGACUUGUGCUUAAUUUUACCAAAACAAAACCUUAACGGAAUUCAUUCACGUAGGGUUUAGUAAGUUUGUAAAUGGGUAAAUUUUGUAAAAUAAUUUUAUGAUAUUUUUAUAUAAAGUAAAAGGAUGGGAGUAAGUUGACAAAAAUUUGGGAGCUUAUUUUGUUAUACGAAAUACAUAUUAGUUAAGUUUUGCAAUUUACAAAAUUACCAAGAACUGCGUGAAUUGUUUGUUUAUAUUCUGGAGAAAGUUUGAAGUUUUAUGGCAAGAUUUCCGGAUUUUAUGGAAGUUAUUAAGAACUGCGUGAAUUGCUUAUUUAUACAUAUUCUCGGAAACUUUAAGUUAUGAGAUUCACACGAAUUUUAUAAAGUUACCAAUUGCUGCGUGAGUGAAUUACCUCGUUAUAUUUAGGAGAAAUCAUGAAUUUAUGUAAGAUUUACCAUAUUUUUAAUGGAGUAUGCGACGAUUUUGGGAUAUAAAUAUUCUAUAAACAUGCAAUUUUUGAUUAUGCAUAUGCAACUGACUUCCUGUUGACUGGAUGAAUGUAAAAGUUGUGACUGGGAUAAGUUAGAUACACAAUAUUUAGUCAAUUUUAUUCCUGGUUGUGGAUGAGUGUUUUGUUUGGUGGGGAGAAGAGAGGACUUGACAUUUUAAGAGGAGCGGAUUUAAGCUGUGAGAUUAUGGAGAAUGGCAGGCUCAGUUUUCAAUGAGGAAAGAUUACCUCCAUUACACACGCUCAGCCAGUUCACUCUCAUUUACAUAUACAGAUAUGCACCCACCCAAAAUAUAUGUACGUACCUACUUUCCCUUCAUCACAAUCCACUCGACCGAUGUGCAACAUGCUUUCUUUCUUUUCUUACUGGAUUAAUUUAGAUUAAAUAUGCAGGAGGAGAAGAGGUGUACUUACAUUUAUGGCAUUCAUGGCAUUUAUGGCAUUUAUUGCAUUUGUGGCAUUUAUUUCAUUUGUGGCAUUUAUUUCAUUUGUGGCAUUUAUGGCAUUCAUGGCAUUUAUUGCAUUUGUGGCAUUUAGGGAAUGCCCAAUAAUAUGUAAAUACUUCUUUAUAAAGUUAAUGUUCUAAGAAAUCUGCGUAAUGCGAGAAAUUUAUAAAAAUUAGUAAGAGUUUCUAGUCAUUUAUGACAUUUAUGGCAUGAUCGAUAGUUAAAUAUGCAAAAGGUUAAAAUUGUAGUAGGGCAAUGGGGAAAAUUUACAAAAUUUAAUAGUUCUUCUGGUA
This is a long non-coding RNA of Folsomia candida, 1958 nucleotides long. RefSeq lists it as uncharacterized. The record is from RefSeq and is a predicted model, not a curated record. NCBI's taxonomy places the organism in Eukaryota, Metazoa, Arthropoda, Collembola, Entomobryomorpha, Isotomidae. The transcript is spliced from 3 exons.